UACGGAGGGAGCUAGCGUUGUUCGGAAUUACUGGGCGUAAAGCGCACGUAGGCGGCUUUGUAAGUUAGAGGUGAAAGCCCGGGGCUCAACUCCGGAACUGCCUUUAAGACUGCAUCGCUUGAAUCCAGGAGAGGUGAGUGGAAUUCCGGAGUGUAGAGGUGAAAUUCGUAGAUAUUCGGAAGGAACACCAGUGGCGAAGGACGGCUGCAC
Molecule: ribosomal RNA, 210 nt
Filed under: uncultured bacterium
Lineage: Bacteria
Description: partial 16S ribosomal RNA
Rfam family: Bacterial small subunit ribosomal RNA
Source: RNAcentral